This 94-nucleotide ribosomal RNA is filed under the name Maxillaria cucullata. RNAcentral's name for it is "5.8S ribosomal RNA". It matches the Rfam family "5.8S ribosomal RNA", at positions 1 to 89 of the family's 154-position model. From Rfam's summary of the family: 5.8S ribosomal RNA (5.8S rRNA) is a component of the large subunit of the eukaryotic ribosome. It is transcribed by RNA polymerase I as part of the 45S precursor that also contains 18S and 28S rRNA. Functionally, it is thought that 5.8S rRNA may be involved in ribosome translocation. The record is from RNAcentral. RNAcentral also lists the same sequence under 1 other name. Lineage: Eukaryota; Viridiplantae; Streptophyta; Magnoliopsida; Asparagales; Orchidaceae.
GACACGACUCUCGGCAAUGGAUAUCUCGGCUCUCGCAUCGAUGAAGAGCGCAGCGAAAUGCGAUAUGUGGUGCGAAUUGCAGAAUCCCGUGAAC